This 829-nucleotide ribosomal RNA is filed under the name uncultured bacterium. RNAcentral describes it as "bacterial SSU rRNA". It matches the Rfam family "Bacterial small subunit ribosomal RNA", at positions 546 to 1377 of the family's 1533-position model. The record is from RNAcentral.
CGGCAUUACUGGGCGUAAAGCGUGCGCAGGCGGAUUGUUAAGCAAGACGUGAAAUCCCCGGGCUUAACCUGGGAAUGGCAUUUUGAACUGGCAGUCUAGAGUGCGUCAGAGGGGGGUGGAAUUCCACGUGUAGCAGUGAAAUGCGUAGAGAUGUGGAGGAACACCAAUGGCGAAGGCAGCCCCCUGGGAUGACACUGACGCUCAUGUACGAAAGCGUGGGUAGCAAACAGGAUUAGAUACCCUGGUAGUCCACGCCCUAAACGAUGUCAACUGGUUGUUGGGGGAGUGAAAUCCCUUAGUAACGAAGCUAACGCGUGAAGUUGACCGCCUGGGGAGUACGGUCGCAAGAUUAAAACUCAAAGGAAUUGACGGGGACCCGCACAAGCGGUGGAUGAUGUGGAUUAAUUCGAUGCAACGCGAAAAACCUUACCUACCCUUGACAUGUCCGGAAUCCUGCAGAGAUGCGGGAGUGCUCGAAAGAGAGCCGUAACACAGGUGCUGCAUGGCUGUCGUCAGCUCGUGUCGUGAGAUGUUGGGUUAAGUCCCGCAACGAGCGCAACCCUUGCCAUUAGUUGCUACGAAAGGGCACUCUAAUGGGACUGCCGGUGACAAACCGGAGGAAGGUGGGGAUGACGUCAAGUCCUCAUGGCCCUUAUAGGUGGGGCUACACACGUCAUACAACGGCUGGUACAGAGGGUUGCCAACCCGCGAGGGGGAGCCAAUCCCAUAAAGCCAGUCGUAGUCCGGAUCGCAGUCUGCAACUCGACUGCGUGAAAGUCGGAAUCGCUAGUAAUCGCGGAUCAGAAUGUCGCGGUGAAUACGUUCCCGG